RNAcentral lists this ribosomal RNA (304 nucleotides) under uncultured bacterium. Its description in RNAcentral is "partial 16S ribosomal RNA". It matches the Rfam family "Bacterial small subunit ribosomal RNA", at positions 506 to 807 of the family's 1533-position model. The record is from RNAcentral.
CAGCAGCAGCCGCGGUAAUACAGAGGGUGCAAGCGUUAAUCGGAAUUACUGGGCGUAAAGCGCGCGUAGGUGGUUUGUUAAGUUGGAUGUGAAAUCCCCGGGCUCAACCUGGGAACUGCAUUCAAAACUGACUGACUAGAGUAUGGUAGAGGGUGGUGGAAUUUCCUGUGUAGCGGCGAAAUGCGUAGAUAUAGGAAGGAACACCAGUGGCGAAGGCGACCACCUGGACUAAUACUGACACUGAGGUGCGAAAGCGUGGGGAGCAAACAGGAUUAGAUACCCGCGUAGUCCCUGUCUCUUAUAC